AGAUUUUCCAAUCACAUGGAUUGAAUUAGCAUGAGCCAUACAUAUGUGAUUCUUUGGUAUUCCCAAUAAUUCCACUUAUGCAAAAUCUUGCUUCUUACAAAAAAAUAGAAUGUAACCAGAUGCCAAAAAACAUUUAUAAAGGAUAUUUUAAAGCCAUGAGGGUCCUGGCCACUUUGCAAACUGAGCUUUGUUUUUCUCUUUUUGAGGGGGCCCUGUCUUCAACCUUCUUCAUAAUAUAGGAAUGACAUUGGCUGUCAGAUUACAAAACUGACCAUAGUUCUUUACUGAACUCCAUCCUUUCCCUUUGCAACAUGACUUCAUGGCUCCAAUCUGGGCUGACUGUGUGUGACUUAUUUUGAUCAAAGUAAUGUUGUAGAGACAUUGUUCCAGCCAAAAGUAUCUUGCAUGCUUCAACUGCUUUUUGGACCUUAGUUUGCAUCAUUGAAACAAAUGUGGACCAGUCUGCUAUAAGAUAAGGUCCCACAUGGAGAAAUCUGCUGAAAUGUUCCAGCUACGACCCUAGAUUAUGACUCAAACCAGCUGUGGGUAUCUCAAACUAGCCCAGGCCAACAGAAUCACUCAGAGGAUAAAACAGACAGACAGAAGCCAGGUGACUUGCAAAAGAUGACACAGGCUCUAAGACCAAGCAUGAACCCCAAUGUUCUACUGUGUCCAAGAUGGACCCUGUGUUGUACCAAGUAAUUGUACCAGUGUCUGCCCUCCUCCAGCCAGCUGUCCUGGGCAAGUACUUGGUGGCAGUGUUCCAAGAGAGAGGACUGAAAUGCACAGGACCUUCUGAAGCCUAGAGGCAGAAGGACAGGACAUCACUUCUGAUGCAUUUCGUUGGUCUGGGCACAUCACAAGCCAACCAGAAUGGAGGGGUAGGAGAACCCGCCUCUCACUUGGAAGAACUCCAAUGUUACAUUGCAAAGAAGCAUGAAAGGGGAUAAUUGUGAUCAUUUCUGUAAACAUUUUUCCCACAAAUAUCCUGAUUCCCCUGCUAUUGUGCAUUUCUUCCUCACAGAAAUGGAGUGUGGUAUUAUAUGGACUGAGAGGAAGAUGGAGGCCACACAGCCUUGUCCUGA
Molecule: non-coding RNA, 1085 nt
Organism: Ictidomys tridecemlineatus (thirteen-lined ground squirrel)
Lineage: Eukaryota; Metazoa; Chordata; Mammalia; Rodentia; Sciuridae
Source: RefSeq, a predicted model, not a curated record